This 378-nucleotide ribosomal RNA is filed under the name uncultured bacterium. RNAcentral's name for it is "bacterial SSU rRNA". It matches the Rfam family "Bacterial small subunit ribosomal RNA", at positions 917 to 1289 of the family's 1533-position model. The record is from RNAcentral.
GGGCCCGCACAAGCGGUGGAGUAUGUGGUUUAAUUCGACGCAACGCGCAGAACCUUACCCGGCCUUGACAUCCUUGGAAUCCUUCCGAAAAGAAGGAGUGUCCCCUCACGGGGAAGCCAAGUGACAGGUGCUGCAUGGCUGUCGUCAGCUCGUGUCGUGAGAUGUUCGGUUAAGUCCGGCAACGAGCGCAACCCCUGUCGUUAGUUGCCAUCAAUUCGGUUGGGCACUCUAGCGAGACUCCCGGUGUUAAGCCGGCGGAAGAUGGGGAUGACGUCAAGUCCUCAUGGCCCUUAUGGUCGGGGCUACACACGGUACUACAAUGGUAGAUACAGAGGGCAGCUACCCCCGCGAGGGAUGCGAAUCUCGAAAGUCUAUCUC